This is an RNA transcript of Dicentrarchus labrax (European seabass), 3853 nucleotides long. It is a transcript of the gene named vascular cell adhesion molecule 1b, with no coding region annotated. The transcript is spliced from 11 exons. NCBI's taxonomy places the organism in Eukaryota, Metazoa, Chordata, Actinopteri, Moronidae. The record is from RefSeq and is a predicted model, not a curated record.
AGACAGAGAGACAUAAAGGAGAGAGGGAGGGAGGUAGACUCAUAAAGGGUUGAGAGGAGCAGAGGACGCGUUCUGGAUUGUAUGAAACAUUGACACAAAGAAGAAGCUGUUCUUUUUUACAUCCAUUCUCUCUCUCACUCAUUAUCUUGCUCUCUGUCUCUCUCUCACUCUCUCUCUCUCUCUCUCUCUCUCUCACUCUCUCUGAGGAGGACGAUGUCUCUGCUGUCUGUCUGCAGGAUUUAUACUCAGCUGAUCUCAGCUGUGCUGCUGAUGUCAUCGUGGUGCGUUCAGGGACUGCAUGUGGACGUGCUACCCAGAAGGCUUCUGUUGAGACUGGGGCAGCGUCAUCAGCUGGUGUGCCGGGUUCAGGACUGUCCCAUGAUACCGACCUUCUCCUGGUCUCUGCUGGGGGACCGACCUCUGACUGCAUCCGUCAGCAGCAACAGGACUCACUCUGUGGUGACCUUUGACCCUGUGACAAUAGAGUACGACGGCACUCUGCUGUGUAAAGUCAGCUGUGGAGGAGAAAACAAGCAGAUUAGGAGCUCACUACAGGUUUACUCCUUUCCAUCAGCCCCUGUGGUCAGAGGUCAGGAUGAGCUGAGGGUGGGGGCGGCGAGCACCCUGACCUGCCAGGUGUCUGAUGUUUACCCCCCUGAGCGUCUGACCCUCACCUGGCUCAGAGGAGACGCUAUCCUGAAGAGCAUUAUAGGAGAUUCUGGAUCCAGCUCAGUCCAGUCUGAGUACAGGUUCACUCCUCUGAACCAGGACUCAGGAGGAAACAUCAGUUGCAGGGCCACGAUGGACCUGCUAAACCUGCCUGCUGAGGACAGGACCAGACAGACCACCGUCCCCCUAAACCUGCUGAAUGCUCCUGUUGUCAGGUCGAUAUCAGACCCUGGGUUGUUGAUGGUCGGCUCUCCACUCACUCUCACCUGUUCUGUGGAGGGAAACCCAGAACCGAACAUCACCUGGAGCCUCAGGACGGCAGCCGGUCGGUCUGUCCUGCGGGGUCGAGGACAUCAGCUGGUCUUCACAGUGGUGAGUCUGUCUGACGCUGGACGCUACGAGUGCGAGGCCCGAAACAGCGAGGGAAACAAAACCACCGAAGUGGAAAUCAUUGUUCAUGGUCCGCCCACUAACACCUCCCUCUCAGUGAGUCCAGGUGAGGAAGUGGUGGAGGGUCAGCAGGUGACGGUUACCUGCCGCUCAGACGGAGCUCCACCCCCCAUGCUGGUGCUGAGGAGAGAGGGGGUGGAGCUUCAGAGGACUGACCCCGCCUCCUCCACGCUCUCCUUCAGCCUCUCCUCCGCCCUGCUGGAAGACUCCGCCCACUACCAGUGUGAAGCCUCCAACCAGUACGGAUCCCAGCUGGUCACCAGCUUCGUCACUGUCACUGCUCACCCUCUGCAGGUGGAGGUGAGUCCUCUAGUCUCAGCAGCAGAGCGGGGUUCAGAUCUGGUUCUGACCUGCAGAGCGUCCGGAUGUGUCCACCCUCCCACCCUCACCUGGAGGAGGACGGACCAGAACCGGACCUUCCUCCAGAGGACGCAGCAGCAGGGCGGACUGUCCCUGCUCCACCUGCAGGACCUGGACCUCCAGAAUCAGGGAGGAUACAGCUGUGAGGCCGAGUGUGACUCCGUCAUCAGGACCGGAAACACCCAGAUCCACAUCCUCUCAUUUCCAUCUGAUCCGGUUCUGGAGGAUCCUGGUCCUGUCCUUCUGGGUCAGGCAGCAGUCCUUCGCUGUGAUGUCAGCAGCGUCUUCCCGGCCAAUCAGAUGAGGGUCCAGUGGCUGUCGGGGAACAUGACGCUGAUGUCAGAGUCCCUCAGAUUCCCUGGUUCCUUACAGAACGUCUCGUCCGUUCUUCAGCACCAGGUUGAGGAGGAUCAGCAGGUUCUGAGCUGUAGAGCCGAGCUGCUGACGGAGGAUGGAGACGUGUGGAGGUCCAGGAAGACCAGCGUCCGCCUGCAGGUCCACUAUCCUCCGAGGAGAACCUCCCUCUCAGUGAGUCCAGGUGAGGAAGUGGUGGAGGGUCAGCAGGUGACGGUUACCUGCCGCUCAGACGGAGCUCCACCCCCCAUGCUGGUGCUGAGGAGAGAGGGGGUGGAGCUUCAGAGGACUGACCCCGCCUCCUCCACGCUCUCCUUCAGCCUCUCUUCCGCCCUGCUGGAAGACUCCGCCCACUACCAGUGUGAAGCCUCCAACCAGUACGGAUCCCAGCUGGUCACCAGCUUCGUCACUGUCACUGCUCCUCCAAGGAACACCACUGUCCUCGUCUUGCCGUCCCCGGUGGUCCAGGAGGGACAAAACGUCACUGUCUGCUGCCAAACCAUCAGCUUCCCACCGUCAGCUGUGGUACUGAAGAAACUGACCAAUGGGACGGAGCUAUAUUCCCCAAACGGCACCUUCCUAUUGGUCAACGUCACAGCUAGAGACUCCGGGCUGUACCAGGUCAACGUGACCAACAGCCUUGGAUACCAGGUCAAAGUCUUCAGCAUCAGCGUCAGAGAAAGAAGCACCAGCCAUCCUCCCAGUCUCAGCGGCAUCAUCAUCCUAGCCAUCUGUGUCACCACUGGGCUAGCAGCCUCUGCUCUGGUCCUCGACUACCUGAGGAGAUCCAGAAAGAAAGGCUUCUAUCAGCUGCCCCAGUCUGCUCCGCCCUCAGCCUGAGGCUGACACGUGGCUACCACCUCCCAACACGUGGCUACCACCUCCCAACACUGGGCUACCACCUCCCAACACGUGGCUACCACCUCCCAACACGUGGCUACCACCUCCCAACACGUGGCUACCACCUCCCAACACUGGGCUACCACCUCCCAACACGUGGCUACCACCUCCCAACACUGGGCUACCAACUCCCAUCAGUGGCUACCACCUCCCAACACUGGGCUACCAACUCCCAUCAGUGGCUACCACCUCCCAACACUGGGCUAACACCUCCCAACACUGGGCUAACACCUCCCAACACUGGGCUAACACCUCCCAACACUGGGCUACCACCUCCCAAUAUGUGACUUUGUACCUACCAUGUGCUGACUCGUGGUUUUGACCUCCCAAUGUGUGGCUACUAAUUAGCAACGUGUGAUUUCAGUAUUCCAACAUGUGACUACUACAUGCUACCCCCUCAACUAAUUUCCACAAUCCAGUGCUGGGCUACCACGUCCCAGUUUGUGACUACUACAGCUACCACUUCUCAACACGUGGCUACCUACUUGCAUGUUACAUGUAGCUGCCACUACCAACAUCUGGCUACCAGUCCUCCAUAUGUUUUUACCGGUGUUCAACAUGUGGCUACAACCUUCCUACAAGUGGCUACCAACUUGCAAUGACCCAUAUGUGGCUACCACCUCCUAGUCUGUGGUUAACAGUCCUCAACAUGUGGCUCUAACAGUCCAUCCUGAGAAAUACAGGUGGUCCCUACCUGUUGCUACAUAGUGUAACAUAUGAACAGCAGCUAACAUCAUUUAAUCAGCCUUGCAACUCUUUAUUUGUUUUUGGAAUCAGUGACUUUUUAGCAGCUGUGAACUUUUAAGUGCUCACUGUCCCUUUAAGUGCUCACUGUCCCUUUACAUGUUUACUGUCCCUUUAGGGGCUCACUGUCCCUUUACGUACUCGUUGCUGAACCAGAGCAUUGGAUCCAGCUUCCCACUGCAACCCUCCAGGGACGGAGGAGGAACUUUAAGUGUCUCUGUUGGUUUGGUACUGUUGCACCUUCAGUGUUUCUGCGUACAGAACCACAUUGUUUAUACGUGUUUAUAAUGAAUUAUCUGCUGUAUUUCUGUCCAGUGUGAGUUGAAUGUGUUCAUUCUCUCACUGUGUGCUUUUAUUAAAGAUAUUUAUUUCUUCA